UCUGCAGGACUCUGGCACCGAAAAUCUUGAGUUUUCUUGGGAAAGAGAAGACAUCAAAGAGGCAUAUGAGGUAGAGGAUAAUAAAGAAUAUUACCUCCUUUUCAAGUACUAUGAUUUUUUUGAAGUUUUCUCGAAGUUGGUUUACCAGUUUCACAAUAACACAGAGCAACUAGAAGAUCAAAAUUCCUUGUAUGAGGGAAGAGUAUCUGUGGACCAGGCUGAAAUUUCUGAGGGGACUCUAUCACAUUUACUAAGAAAUGUGGACUUCAUGAAUGAAGCUAUCUACAAGUGCUCAGCCAUCACACCAGAUGGAAGAAGUGAAAGUACAAUUAAGCUAAUAGUAGAAGACUCUGAAAUGCCCCAGGUGCAGUUUGACAGGAUUGAUAAUGAGGAUGUGGCCACAUGCAUCUCAAAGGACUGGUACCUCACGCCCAUUGUGACAUGGCUGGACUGGACAGAGAGGGACCUGAGCAACCACAGCAUCAUGGAAAUCCUGGAGGAGCAGAUGAAUGGCUUCUACAGGGUGUUCUCCAUCCUGAAAUACCCUGUCAAGUAAAAUGAGAAAUAUAUCUGCUACAUAACAGAGACAGAUGUGAACGACCAGCUUUUCAGAAUCAUCCACAAGUACCCAAAGGGAUGAGGAAUGCUUUUAUAAAGAGAAUGAAAUCAUUGGCACUGCCUGCUGAUGGGUGGCUCUGCAAGGUAGCCACAUUGGCCUUGGCCACUGUCCUCUGGCUCCCGACAUCAGGACUUACCUCAAUGCAGAGACAGGUGACACGUCUGUCAAUAGGUGGCAAUCUCUCUCUUUGUCUUGCACAGCCCAGCGCCGCAAUGCAGAAGCGCAGUGUUGGCUCCUGCAGCUCCACCCAGCUCUGUCCUCAGAACAAGAAUUGGUGCAGGAGGUGGAAGAAUAGGGUGGCUGCCUCAAAAAUAUGGGUAGGGGGAUCUACCAAUGCGGGGGAGGUCUCACCUGCAGCCUCAUAGCCCUCCCCAGUGAUCCCCAUUCACAGGCAUGCUUUGAUGCAGAAAUCAACAACGAAGAAAAUUUUUUCCAGAGAGAUAGCCUUUGUGCCAUUGAAAGCCCUUCUCCAAGCCUCAUCUUCUCUGGGAGUGGGAGUGUCAGGUGCAUCCCUGAGGUGCCUAGAAAGUUGCUUAGGGUGGUGGGUAGUCUUACCCAUCUACUGAGAGACUGAUUCUGAGUGGAGGAAAAGAACACCUUGAGGGGUUGAACAUGCUCAUGGGUUGGAGUGAUGGCUGCCUGGUAGGGAGGGUUGUGGUGAGGAAGACGGAGAUGAAGCAGGGUGGCAGGUGAUGAUGGGGAGAGGGGUGGCGCUCGAUGGCUGACCCGAGGGGCUCUCCACAGCGACUAUGAGACGUGAGAACCUUGGAAGGUUUGGGAUUGGGUAGGUA
This 1410-nucleotide small RNA is filed under the name Pongo abelii (Sumatran orangutan). RNAcentral's name for it is "processed transcript". Lineage: Eukaryota; Metazoa; Chordata; Mammalia; Primates; Hominidae. The record is from RNAcentral.